GGAGCACCCAGUUUCUACUUCCGGUCACUCCUUACACAGCCUACACAGGAACAUCCGGCGUGUUUGCUCUGGUCGUCACAGCACCGGUUCCUCGGGCGCGCGCCCUUAGUCCUGGGGCCGCUUCUCCCCCGGACGCGUGCGAAGGCGGACUGGGUUCCGCUGCGGUCUCCACGGGAGCCACCGGUCCUGAAAGCGCGGAGCAUGCUUUGUUUGCGGAAACGAAAGCGAAUACUUCUUUCCAAGGAGACUUAGGAAAGGGCAGACGCUCCCACUGCCUCAGGUGUUCCCUGGAGGACCUUCAAGUGGCCGCCGUGUGGGCGGGCUAGCGUCCCGCUGCUGCGCUGGUUCCGGAGCCCUUCCCUUGCCUCUCCCAGGGUCCUUCUCCCAGCGUCGGAGGAAGGCCCGCAGUCUGCGAGUGGAGUGCGGGUGGUGGGAAUCCCUGGGAGGAUUACGAAAUCCUUAAAGUGGGAUUUACCAAACGCAUUCCUUUCCGCUCACUUCCGUUCCCGCUUAACAAACGUGUUGGAAACGUGUUGCUACUGAAAGGAAGUGGCGCUGGGCUGCAUUUUCUGUGGCUAGUCUGCGAGAAACAGCCCUGGAAUAGGGCCUCUAUUUCUUCCUUGGAGCAUCCCUCCCCGGGACCUGGGAGUUGAAACUCUAGGCUAAAGCAACUGAAGCAGGCCCAGGACUGGGUCUCUGAAAUUCAUGGUGUCUCUACGCUGAGUUAAACUAAGUUUUUCAGAAAAUGUCUAACUAGGCUAAAGACCUUGUGCUUCAGAGUGUUUUGAGAGGAGAGUUUGGGGAAAAGGGCUCUCUCUAGAAGGUAAAUUUGUAUGGGAGAUGGGGAGUGUGUGUUUACACGGAGUAUCGGGCGUCUUUCUUAUGGGUGGACAUUGUGGAUAAGAAUGAGAUAUUAAGGCAGAAUUAGCUGGGCUUUUAAUCCCAAACAGUGUUUUAAAAAUAAAAACUAUAUAUUUAAGGUGUACAACAUGAUGUUUUGAUACAUGUACACAGUGAAAUGAUUUCUACAGUCAAGCUAAUUAACAUAAUACAUCUCUUCACAGUUACUAUUUUGUGUAAGUGGUGAGAGCGCAUGAAAUGUACUCUCCGCAAGUUUCCAAUGCACAAUGCAGUAUUAACUAUAGUUAUGCUAUGCAUUACAUCUCUAGACUUAUUCAUCCUAUAGAACUGCAACUUUGUAUCCUUUGACCAACAUCUUAACCAUUUCCAUACGUCUCCACCCCUG
This 1246-nucleotide long non-coding RNA is filed under the name Homo sapiens (human). Its description in RNAcentral is "non-protein coding lnc-HIST1H2BJ-8:3". Lineage: Eukaryota; Metazoa; Chordata; Mammalia; Primates; Hominidae. The record is from RNAcentral.